RNAcentral lists this ribosomal RNA (586 nucleotides) under uncultured bacterium. RNAcentral's name for it is "partial 16S ribosomal RNA". It matches the Rfam family "Bacterial small subunit ribosomal RNA", at positions 355 to 935 of the family's 1533-position model. The record is from RNAcentral.
UGGGGAAUAUUGGACAAUGGGCGAAAGCCUGAUCCAGCCAUGCCGCGUGUGUGAAGAAGGUCUUCGGAUUGUAAAGCACUUUAAGUUGGGAGGAAGGGUUGUAGAUUAAUACUCUGCAAUUUUGACGUUGCCGACAGAAUAAGCACCGGCUAACUCUGUGCCAGCAGCCGCGGUAAUACAGAGGGUGCAAGCGUUAAUCGGAAUUACUGGGCGUAAAGCGCGCGUAGGUGGUUUGUUAAGUUGGAUGUGAAAGCCCCGGGCUCAACCUGGGGACUGCAUCCAAAACUGGCAAGCUAGAGUACGGUAGAGGGUGGUGGAAUUUCCUGUGUAGCGGUGAAAUGCGUAGAUAUAGGAAGGAACACCAGUGGCGAAGGCGACCACCUGGACUGAUACUGACACUGAGGUGCGAAAGCGUGGGGAGCAAAACAGGAUUAGAUAGCCCUGGUAGUCCACGCCGUAAAGCGAUGUCAACUAGCCGUUGGAAUCCUUGAGAUUUUAGUGGCGCAGCUAACGCAUUAAGUUGACCGCCUGGGGAGUACGGCCGCAAGGUUAAAACUCAAAUGAAUUGACGGGGUCAUAGCUGUUU